CCCGGGUCUUGUACACACCGCCCGUCACACCACGAAAGUCCGCUGCAACAGAAGUCCCAGCUUGCUGGGCCAAAGUUGUGGCUGAUGAUUGGGGUG
Molecule: ribosomal RNA, 96 nt
Filed under: uncultured bacterium
Lineage: Bacteria
Description: partial 16S ribosomal RNA
Rfam family: Bacterial small subunit ribosomal RNA
Source: RNAcentral